CCGGGAAAGAUAAGUUAGUUCCUCAUGCUCUCAAGUGUGUCUUCCUUGGCUAUUCUCGUGUUCAGAAAGGAUAUCAUUGUUAUUCACCUGAUCUUCAUAGGUACCUUAUGUCAGCUGACGUCACAUUUUUUGAGUCUAAACCUUUCUUUGCUUCUGCUGACCACCAUGAUAUAUCUCAGGUCUUACCUAUACCGACCUUUGAGGAAUUUAGCUCCUCUCCACCACUUUCGAACAUAAAGGUUUCACCCAUACUAACCAUUGAGGAGUCUAGUGUUGUAACCACCAUAAUAUAUCUGAGGUCUUACCUAUACCGACCUUUGAGGAGUUUCCUAUAGCUCCUCCUCCACCACCUUCGAACACAGAUGUUCCACCCAUACUAACCAUUGAGGAGUCUAGUGUUGUUCCUCCUAGUUCCCCGGUCACAGGAACACCACUCUUGACUUAUCAUCGUCGUCUGCGCCCUACAUCAGGCCCAACUGGUUCUCAUCUUGCACCUGACCCUGUUCCUAUUGCGGACCCUGCCCCUAGUACACUGAUUGCACUUCGAAAAGGU
This 553-nucleotide long non-coding RNA is filed under the name Nicotiana benthamiana. RNAcentral describes it as "long non-coding RNA (NBEN_LNC034041)". Lineage: Eukaryota; Viridiplantae; Streptophyta; Magnoliopsida; Solanales; Solanaceae. The record is from RNAcentral.